Molecule: non-coding RNA, 48 nt
Filed under: unclassified sequences
Description: chromate-resist RNA
Rfam family: chrB-b RNA
Source: RNAcentral
CGGGGACACGCAGUCUCCCCGCUAGACGGAGCUCCGUCCAAGCACUGC